This 1463-nucleotide ribosomal RNA is filed under the name uncultured Klebsiella sp. RNAcentral describes it as "bacterial SSU rRNA". It matches the Rfam family "Bacterial small subunit ribosomal RNA". Lineage: Bacteria; Pseudomonadati; Pseudomonadota; Gammaproteobacteria; Enterobacterales; Enterobacteriaceae. The record is from RNAcentral.
AUUGAACGCUGGCGGCAGGCCUAACACAUGCAAGUCGAGCGGUAGCACAGAGAGCUUGCUCUCGGGUGACGAGCGGCGGACGGGUGAGUAAUGUCUGGGAAACUGCCUGAUGGAGGGGGAUAACUACUGGAAACGGUAGCUAAUACCGCAUAAUGUCGCAAGACCAAAGUGGGGGACCUUCGGGCCUCAUGCCAUCAGAUGUGCCCAGAUGGGAUUAGCUAGUAGGUGGGGUAAUGGCUCACCUAGGCGACGAUCCCUAGCUGGUCUGAGAGGAUGACCAGCCACACUGGAACUGAGACACGGUCCAGACUCCUACGGGAGGCAGCAGUGGGGAAUAUUGCACAAUGGGCGCAAGCCUGAUGCAGCCAUGCCGCGUGUGUGAAGAAGGCCUUCGGGUUGUAAAGCACUUUCAGCGGGGAGGAAGGCGAUAAGGUUAAUAACCUUGUCGAUUGACGUUACCCGCAGAAGAAGCACCGGCUAACUCCGUGCCAGCAGCCGCGGUAAUACGGAGGGUGCAAGCGUUAAUCGGAAUUACUGGGCGUAAAGCGCACGCAGGCGGUCUGUCAAGUCGGAUGUGAAAUCCCCGGGCUCAACCUGGGAACUGCAUUCGAAACUGGCAGGCUAGAGUCUUGUAGAGGGGGGUAGAAUUCCAGGUGUAGCGGUGAAAUGCGUAGAGAUCUGGAGGAAUACCGGUGGCGAAGGCGGCCCCCUGGACAAAGACUGACGCUCAGGUGCGAAAGCGUGGGGAGCAAACAGGAUUAGGUACCCUGGUAGUCCACGCCGUAAACGAUGUCGAUUUGGAGGUUGUGCCCUUGAGGCGUGGCUUCCGGAGCUAACGCGUUAAAUCGACCGCCUGGGGAGUACGGCCGCAAGGUUAAAACUCAAAUGAAUUGACGGGGGCCCGCACAAGCGGUGGAGCAUGUGGUUUAAUUCGAUGCAACGCGAAGAACCUUACCUGGUCUUGACAUCCACAGAACUUUCCAGAGAUGGAUUGGUGCCUUCGGGAACUGUGAGACAGGUGCUGCAUGGCUGUCGUCAGCUCGUGUUGUGAAAUGUUGGGUUAAGUCCCGCAACGAGCGCAACCCUUAUCCUUUGUUGCCAGCGGUUCGGCCGGGAACUCAAAGGAGACUGCCAGUGAUAAACUGGAGGAAGGUGGGGAUGACGUCAAGUCAUCAUGGCCCUUACGACCAGGGCUACACACGUGCUACAAUGGCAUAUACAAAGAGAAGCGACCUCGCGAGAGCAAGCGGACCUCAUAAAGUAUGUCGUAGUCCGGAUUGGAGUCUGCAACUCGACUCCAUGAAGUCGGAAUCGCUAGUAAUCGUAGAUCAGAAUGCUACGGUGAAUACGUUCCCGGGCCUUGUACAUACCGCCCGUCACACCAUGGGAGUGGGUUGCAAAAGAAGUAGGUAGCUUAACCUUCGGGAGGGCGCUUACCACUUUGUGAUUCAUGACUGGGGUGA